GGACUGCUUCUUCCAACUUCUACUCUUUGUUAGAGAUGUAAUUGUAGUGGAAGUACCUCUCACACUUCCUCAACCAAUAACAAGUAUUAGACCCUGUUGCACCAUCAAAGUGGGAAAAUUCUAUAUAGAAACCAUGAUUAUUGUGAUGAGCCCUCUCCACCAACAAGGAAUUGUUAACCCUUGGUCUGUUUCCCAUUUCCCCACUUGUUGAUCCUCCAAUGGAACACUGCCCAAGACUCCCGCAUGAUUUGAAAGAAGUUUCUCCAUCAACAGAUCAAACUUCUUUCCGAAAUUAUCGAGUUUAGCUCAUCACAAUCGAAUUUUUCAGCUG
This 331-nucleotide long non-coding RNA is filed under the name Nicotiana benthamiana. Its description in RNAcentral is "long non-coding RNA (NBEN_LNC030995)". The record is from RNAcentral. Lineage: Eukaryota; Viridiplantae; Streptophyta; Magnoliopsida; Solanales; Solanaceae.